GAUAAGAACGUAGCGAAAUGCGAUACUUGGUGUGAAUUGCAGAAUCCCGCGAAUCAUCGAGUUUUUGAACGCAAGUUGCGCCCGAAGCCAUUCGGCCGAGGGCACGUCUGCCUGGGUGUCACGCAUCGUUGCCCCCCCAAACUCCGGUUCGGGCAGGGCGGAAGUUGGCCUCCCGUGCGUGCCUGCGCGCGCGGUUAGCCCAAAAGCGAGUCCUCGGCGACGAGCGCCACGACAAUCGGUGGUUUUUUUACCCUCGUUCCUCGUCGUGCGUGCCCCGUCGCCCGAACGCGCUCUUGCGACCCUUACGCGUCGCCUCGGCGGCGCUCCCAACGCGACCCCAGGUCAGGCGGGACUACCCGCUGAGUUUAAGCAUAUCAAUAAGCGGAGGA
This 389-nucleotide unclassified non-coding RNA is filed under the name soil metagenome. Its description in RNAcentral is "partial contains 5.8S ribosomal RNA, internal transcribed spacer 2, and large subunit ribosomal RNA". The stretch from base 4 to 121 matches the Rfam family "5.8S ribosomal RNA", at positions 39 to 154 of the family's 154-position model. The record is from RNAcentral.